GACACAGAUCACAACUACUACACGUCAAAAACAUACACCCCGUCAGACCCAAUGAGCAAGGACUUGUGGGUAGAUGUGGACCAGAUGCAAAAAGACAAAGUGAAGAUCCACGGGAUUCUGUCCAACACACACCGACAAGCAGCUAGAGUCAACCUGUCCUUCGAUUUCCCCUUUUAUGGACACUUCCUGCGUGAAAUCACCGUGGCAACUGGUGGGGCCAUCUACA
This is a long non-coding RNA of Notothenia coriiceps (black rockcod), 226 nucleotides long. RefSeq lists it as uncharacterized. Lineage: Eukaryota; Metazoa; Chordata; Actinopteri; Perciformes; Nototheniidae. The transcript has 3 exons. The record is from RefSeq and is a predicted model, not a curated record.